Long non-coding RNA from Panicum virgatum (switchgrass), 510 nucleotides. RefSeq lists it as uncharacterized. The record is from RefSeq and is a predicted model, not a curated record. The transcript has 2 exons. Lineage: Eukaryota; Viridiplantae; Streptophyta; Magnoliopsida; Poales; Poaceae.
AGACAGGGAGCGGCAGAACGGCGGAAGGCACGCGGCGGCGGCACAGCGGACUCUCCCUCCAUUGGCGGGAGGCGGAAAGGCAUCGAGGCGGCUCCCAGAUGACAGAUACGGAGGCCGCGCCCGCAGGCACCUGCCCCAUCGCAGCAGCAGGGGCGGUGCUGGUCGGAUCAUGACGACGGAAAGGCGACCUCAGUGCCCGGAAGAAGAGGGGAAAACUAUGACAAGUAUCAAAUCGACAGUACCUUUCUUGCUGGAAUGCCCAAAGUAAAGUCACUGAGCACUUGGACAUCUGGGCGGGAAGGGUAUUUGAAGUUUACAUGUCUGAAAUCUAUAUUUCCAUCAACUUUUUCUAGCAUAAUGCCUUCAUCACUAGUCGAGUUGAUUUUAGGCUUCCUGUCUAUGAUAGCUAGUAUAGAAACAGUGGAUUCCUGGGCUUUUGUUGAAUCUGUUGCCAUUCCACUUGUUUGGGAAACUCCAAAAGCUGUGAAAAUCAAAGCAAAAUAAACCUGC